Spinacia oleracea (spinach) is the source of this 1103-nucleotide long non-coding RNA. RefSeq lists it as uncharacterized. The transcript is spliced from 3 exons. The record is from RefSeq and is a predicted model, not a curated record. Lineage: Eukaryota; Viridiplantae; Streptophyta; Magnoliopsida; Caryophyllales; Amaranthaceae.
UUUGUCGACGUUGGGAGCUCGACGCCAACGCAUCAUCAUUGGGUAAAAUAUUAAUUCCCGUGAUUUCUCAACCCUAUAAUUGACACUUAAAGUCGUGACUUUCUCAACAUCUUUUAGCGUCGAGAAUGCAUGUGACUUGCACGUAUUUUAAUUUUAGGGGGAAAUAGAAAACGGGGAAUCGAGGGUACUACUAUAGAACUCCCAGCCCACAUCUCUCAAACCCUAAACUGCCUGCAAAACCCAGAAACAUACGCUCAAUUCUCUCUUCACCAUUGUCUUCAUGUUUGUUUAACUUCAAUUCUUAUGUUUCUCAGGUGUUUUUUUUUCUUCUUUUUCUCUAAUUUCGUUAACUUAAUCUGAUACUUUUUAUACUUUCAUUGAAAUCUUCAUCUUCUUCCUUUCAUAAUCCUCAUGCGUUACAGCUAAUGGAAGAAUUGAUUUUUCUACUCAUUUCGCUUCCUUCUAGCGGAAUUCCUGAGAUUCAUACUUGCGAUUUUUUAACUAGAGAUGCUGGGAACUACUGGAUAUUUUCCAACGACACACUUGGAAUCUUAGUAGAGAAUAGGGCAGGAACAAUGGUAAUGUAAGUAACCCUCACGCUCUCUCCUCCUUCGUCAUUACCAAAGAGCUUCAAUCAUCUUGGUACAUUGACUAGUAGUUUUUUGAAAACUGUUGUAAUAGACACGGAAUUAAAGUAUUUGGCUGUUUUCUAACCUGGGAUGUCGUCUUGGCAUUUAUUGUUUCAUGGUCGUUGUGGUUGAUUUCUAUGACGGUUGAUUUUCAUUUCUUACUCAUACUUAUUUCAUCUUGUUUUUUUUCCUGUGAAAAUCGUCCAACGUGAUAAGGAUCAACAUAAGAAUGAAGGUGGGGAACUCGAGUUUAUCAUAUAAGCUACUACCACCGUUAGAUUCUAGUUUUCUAGGCUUAAUUACUUCUUCGAUUUAGUAACUCAGAUACAACUUGUAUUUUUUACGAUGUAUGGACUAUUUAGUUAGUAACAUUUAUGUACUGUGGAUUUUGGUUAAUUAGUAACAUUAUCGUAUACGAUAGAUUUUAACUAUGUACUUCUAGAUUUUUAUAAGUUUAUUUUAAUGUUAUGUUGA